CACUCCAGAGAUGAGAAACUGAAUCUCAUACCAAUACCAUGGCUUGAAACUCACUCUGCUGCAUCCUGCACUUGCCUUGCUCACAGAUUACUGCUCAUUUUCUCCUCUUGCACCUUUCCCACUCCAUAUGGAUAGCUCAAGAACCACUGAGCAGGAGGAAGCCAUCAGGAGAUUCUAACUCAGCAAAAGUGGGUAUUCAUCAAUUUCCCCUUUGAUAAGGAAUAGGAACGACACCAAAAACCUGUACCUGCUGCAGUACCUGGAAAGAGUGUGUUGUGCAGCCCAGUCACUUCAUAUCUGACAAGGAUGCCUUGAGGGAAUUCUUGUGCUUGAUUUUAGUGGAAUAAAUGAGCCCUGCAGAGAGGCAGUAAAAAAUAUGAGACCAUGAGCACAUGCUAAUGAACCUGCCUAACUGUGAAGGUAUCCAAAACCUCCCCAAAAUGCUGCUUGAAGUCCAGGAACCUCUUACAGUCAGCAGCUAAAGACUUCAAAUCUGCAGGAGUGUUACCAAGAUGGAAAGAGAGACAGGGUAAGAACCAGCAUGACCAGUAAUCAAAACCUGGUUCUAAAUCUGAUUGAUGGACCAGCUUGCAUCCUGCCCCUGACCUAGUCCAUGUCAAACUAUAUCACCAAAACCACCAAAAACCAUCUAUCACGUGAAUGGAAAGCAAAUGACAGCCCAAUAUGCAUGUCUGGAGAAGAACUGAAAGUUUUUGAUGAUCGGAAGCUGUUGAAUACCCUGGAUUUUAUUUUUCUGUCAUUAUUUUUAUCUCAGUUGGAAAACAUGGUGUUUGGCACACACUGAGCUUGUUUUCAGCUCUAAAGGGAGAUAUCAUGAUGUCAAAGAAAUCUGUAAUGGUGAUGGCACAGAGAAAGCCAGCAAAAAUAAGUGUGGCACAUUGUUAAGGGAGGGAGACUCGAUAGUGAAGAUUAAUUUGAAAUGACCUGUUUCUACAGAGUCCAACUAGACCUGGAGAAACUUCAGAUUCUGGUUUUUAUUUUUGAAUGUGUCAUGCUAAGCACAACAAAUCUUGUUUACCUUCAACUGUCAGACCUAGGUGGAUUUGUCUCUGCAUGGGGGAAGAAGGUACUGGGGAAGGUCUUUCUCACCCCCCUCUGCUCUGGAUCUGGAGGGACUCUGUGUCUUACAGCUCUGAGUUGUGAUUUUAAGUAAUUCCAGGACAAAGCCAAGGCUCAGGUAAUAAUGUAAGACAAUUCUGGGAGUGGGGGUAGGGGGCAGCCUGCUGUUCCUUGUAUUGAUCAGGAAUUAAUGUCUAACCUUUGAAAACGCAGUGGAGAAUCUCAGUGUGAUUGUGAAACCCUACUUUGUGCUGUGAUCAGUUACCUCUGGGGACCCGCGGGGCUCAGCCUGCUGAUUACAGAUGCAUUUGGAAAAACCUGAAUUUUCAAUUUUUCACAUGAAUCUUAUAAAGUGAAACGGACUCCUGCUGGGAUUUAUGGAAACUGGUUUACUCUCCACUGCACUCAGUACAUCUACUGAGCUAAGCUUGGAGAGUUCUUCAACCAGAGAGGCACUGCAAGAAUUAUUCCACCCUCAGCAAGUUAAUUGCUGCAUCGUCAAGUAGCAUGGUUAUCCAUCCUAUUCCUUCUGCUUUCUCUCUCUUUUUUCCCCCCUCUUCCUCUCCAAGAGCUGAUGUGUGAUGUCUUUUAUUUUUUUUCCCUCCUUCUUGCCAUCUGUUUCAUGUUUGUAACUUGCAGAGGGUGGGUGUGUGGUAGUGGAGCUUGAGAUGAAGUUUGCUGGUGCAGGCAUUUCUUUCACUCUGUUAAUUAGAUUUGUGUUUUCGUUACUCCCAGUUCUAAGGGCCAUGCAAAUAGGACUAAAUUAUGCAUUAGUGAUAUGCCCCAGUGUUUAAAACAUUCUUAUUGUUGGGGGACACUGGCUCCAUCCUCUAUUCCUCCCUUUCAUGGAAUUCAAUUAUAUUUAAACUAUUAACAUGGAAAGUCUAAAAAUUCUAUUAAAAUGUCAGUUUAAUAAAUCUUCCUAGGUUUAAUCUUUCAUUUCUGGACUAGGGGAAGGGGAGGAUGAAUUAUGACAGUUUUAAGUUUUCCCCGAGCAGCCCCUGUGUGUUAAAUUGUCUGUAACUGUCAAGAGUGUUUCUGAACUUAUCUCUAUUGGUAAAACAAUCUGAGGCAAUAGGAGGCUGCCUGGGGUAUUCACUGGAAUCAAGCACUUCAUGUCCAGAUCUAAAACACUCCAGAACUGGGGGAAUUUGGACCCAGUUCUUUUUUUCGAAUUUUUACAGAAAAGCGAGGGAAAUGGGGUGCUUCGUGCCCCCUCCACUCCCUGCUCUGGGCUCUCAAAGAUGGGUUUAUCUGGCUUUAGACAUGUGAUUUGGACCCAGCACUAUUUAAAACUGAUUAGAUUGUUGUUUUUAAUUCCUCUCUUCUUCCAUGUGCCACUUCAGAAAUGCCAAGGAAAUGUCCAUCAUUUUGCUUGGUACGUCAUGGUGCUGAGUACCACGUGAGCAUCUCCUGCAAGCAAAGCUUUCUCCUCUCCCUCUUUUUGUGCUGCACUUCUGCUUUUAAUAAAUGCUGAAAUCGA
Cyanistes caeruleus (blue tit) is the source of this 2563-nucleotide non-coding RNA. The record is from RefSeq and is a predicted model, not a curated record. NCBI's taxonomy places the organism in Eukaryota, Metazoa, Chordata, Aves, Passeriformes, Paridae.